This 490-nucleotide ribosomal RNA is filed under the name uncultured bacterium. Its description in RNAcentral is "bacterial SSU rRNA". It matches the Rfam family "Bacterial small subunit ribosomal RNA", at positions 30 to 507 of the family's 1533-position model. The record is from RNAcentral.
AUUGAACGCUGGCGGUAUGCUUAACACAUGCAAGUCGAACGGUAACAGGAGAGAGCUUGCUUUCUUGCUGACGAGUGGCGGACGGGUGAGUAACGCGUAGGAAUCUACCUGGUAGUGGGGGACAACUCGGGGAAACUCGAGCUAAUACCGCAUACGCCCUUCGGGGGAAAGCGGGGGAUCUUCGGACCUCGCGCUAUUGGAUGAGCCUGCGUCGGAUUAGCUUGUUGGUGAGGUAAAGGCUCACCAAGGCGACGAUCCGUAGCUGGUCUGAGAGGAUGAUCAGCCACACUGGGACUGAGACACGGCCCAGACUCCUACGGGAGGCAGCAGUGGGGAAUAUUGCGCAAUGGGGGCAACCCUGACGCAGCCAUGCCGCGUGUGUGAAGAAGGCCCUAGGGUUGUAAAGCACUUUCAAUAGGGAGAAAAGGCCCACGGUUAAUACCCGUGGGAGUUGAUGUUACCUAUAGAAGAAGCACCGGCUAACUCCGUG